GGGGAUUUAGCCCAGUGGUAGAGCGCUUGCCUAGCAAGCACAAGGCCCUGGGUUCGGUCCCCAGCUCCA
This 69-nucleotide transfer RNA is filed under the name Rattus norvegicus (Norway rat). It matches the Rfam family "tRNA". From Rfam's summary of the family: Transfer RNA (tRNA) molecules are approximately 80 nucleotides in length. Their secondary structure includes four short double-helical elements and three loops (D, anti-codon, and T loops). Further hydrogen bonds mediate the characteristic L-shaped molecular structure. tRNAs have two regions of fundamental functional importance: the anti-codon, which is responsible for specific mRNA codon recognition, and the 3' end, to which the tRNAs corresponding amino acid is attached (by aminoacyl-tRNA synthetases). tRNAs cope with the degeneracy of the genetic code in two manners: having more than one tRNA (with a specific anti-codon) for a particular amino acid; and 'wobble' base-pairing, i.e. permitting non-standard base-pairing at the 3rd anti-codon position. The record is from Rfam by way of RNAcentral. Lineage: Eukaryota; Metazoa; Chordata; Mammalia; Rodentia; Muridae.